Molecule: long non-coding RNA, 1633 nt
Filed under: Marmota monax (woodchuck)
Lineage: Eukaryota; Metazoa; Chordata; Mammalia; Rodentia; Sciuridae
Source: RNAcentral
CAGCAAGUGCGUCAGAGAUCCACGGGCAACUCGGUGCAGAACCAGUAGUCCAGCACUCAGGGUGCCUUGAUCCAAGCCCGUUCCCUGCCUGGCUGGCGGAGACAGCACAGGCUCCCGUCCUCCCAGCUCCCCUCUGGCAGUUCCAUUCUCAGAGCAGGAGAGCAAUUCUGAUAAUGUCCACACUUCCCUAAGGGCGAUGCCCAUUCUGCUAUUAAGAACAAGGAAAGCUGGGCUUGGUGGCCCACACCCAUGAUCUCAGCUACUCAGGAGGCUGAGGCAGGAGGACCGCAUGCUGGAGGCCAGCCUGGGCAACACAGCAAGGCUGGGAAUAUAGCUCAGUGGUAGAGUGUCCCUGGGUUCGGUUCCCAGUGUCAAAAAGGAAUACCCUCCUACAGCAAGGUGGCAGGCAGGGACAAACACAAUAGCCGAAGGUCAUGUUCCUGACCUGAGAGAGCGAAUCCUGGAGGUGCCCUAAGGCUGGGGUCCAGUUCACAGCUGCCCAGCGCUCCUGGAACAGGUGCACAGGAGGGUCCAGAGGGGCCUGAAGGAUGUAUUGGGUGGAAGACACACAACUGCAUCCCAGGAAGAGGCAGGGUGGUCAGCGAUGGUGCCCAGGGAAGGAGACGGCUGGACAUAGCAAUCCCCGUUCACCACCACAAAAGCCAGCCAGGUGCAACCAGAACAAGCUGGUGCCAACAGAGGCUGAGUGUGGAGGACACUGUCCUGUCCUCCCCUACUGCAGAGGUUCACAGCGACCCUCUCUCACCCUGGACUCGGGGACAACUUCCCGAGUUCCGACAGCCAGGUCUCAGGGCGGGCUGCUCCCUGCCUGGCCUCUGGUUGGUGAUUGACUGCUGGGGUGGCUGCCUCCAAGCCCUGGGCCACCCAGUCCACCCCAGGGACGCUCCAUGAAGUGGAUACUGGGAGGCAGCGGAUCCUUGACUCACCACAUGCCCCCCAGGAAGCCCCACCUGCCUCCCAGCCCAGCCCCAGCUGAGAGGCGCUGGCUGCCUCUCGUCUCCAGGAAAUGGUCAACAAUGGGCGACCGGCCUGCAUGUGGGUAAUGAGGAGACUGUCAUGGCCAAGUGGGACCACAGGCUGCAUGGUCCCGGUCACCUCCACGCGCUGGCUCCAGACGUGCCCCCUCCUGGCCUUCCCUGCUUCUCUGCUCACUCCACUGUCCACAGACAACUGGGCAAGGGGACAGCUCACCUGACCCCCAGGAAGUCAGUUGGUAGUGGACAAAGAGCAGAUCCCGAGUUGGUGGGCUCAAGGCACCCCGCCCAGACCCCCACAGAGGCUCCAGGCUGUGACAUCACAGGCAGGACAAAAGACCCCACCAUGAAGAGGAAACCUACAGACAGGCCCAGGGAUUUGAUCUCCUGCUGGGAAGAGGUGGGGCUGGACAGGGACCUGCCUGGCCAGUGACCAGGAAACACAAGAGGCUAGACCCCCAGAGAGGGAAUAGGAAGCGAGAAGCCCUCAGAACAGAAGAGCUGGGCAGCGGUGGAGACUGGAGGAGCGAGGCUGUCCCUGGGGCCCUGGAGUGCUAGGUCAGCAUUUGCAGGUUAGAGCAGAGCACACGGAUGACCUUACACACAGCACACCAGCACAGAAGGGCCCUGGAGGCAGG